RNAcentral lists this transfer RNA (84 nucleotides) under Candidatus Magasanikiibacteriota bacterium. Its description in RNAcentral is "Candidatus Magasanikbacteria bacterium tRNA-Leu". It matches the Rfam family "tRNA". From Rfam's summary of the family: Transfer RNA (tRNA) molecules are approximately 80 nucleotides in length. Their secondary structure includes four short double-helical elements and three loops (D, anti-codon, and T loops). The record is from RNAcentral. Lineage: Bacteria; Candidatus Magasanikiibacteriota.
GGGCAAGUGGCGGAAUUGGUAGACGCGCUACGUUCAGAGCGUAGUGAGCUUUCGCUCGUGGGAGUUCAAGUCUCCCCUUGCCCA